AGGAAUAAUACUGCCUUUUCUUUCUGGCAUGGAUCAAGAGAAAAGAAAAUACAAGAAAACAGACAGAAGCAAGGCAAGGUACUUCUAUGGAAGGGUGAGCCCUCACAGAUGGAGCAAUGGGGCGCGCACACCUGAACAAGGGAGGGGAAGGAGUUCUUAUCCCUGAUGCAUGUGACCCCUGCUGCUGUGUCCUUCCCCUAUUGGCUAAGAUGAUUUAUAAUCAGCUAUAUAAUUUUGACACGUGCUCUCAAACGCAGGCUUCUGACAGCUUUGGAGAUUGUGACAUUGGAAUAAAGGAAAAACGUACAGGACUCAUGAAGCGCUGAAAUGUUCACAAAUAUCAAGCAAAAGUCAAUGAAAUUUAUUUUGAGCUAUUUACAUCAUUUAAUAAUUGAGCAAGGUAUACUCCUAUGAACAAAAUUUGGAGCAUGUUUGUCUCUCUCUGCCUGGCGUCUUCAGAAUUUGGAAACUAGUUAGUCAUGGAAAUUUAUUUUGAGCUAUUUACAGCAUUUAAUAAUUGAGCAAGGUAUACUCCUAUGAACAAAAUUUGGAGCAUGUUUGUCUCUCUCUGUCUGCCUGGCAUCUACAGAAUUUGGAAACUAGUUUCGUUCCCAGAUUUCCUAAACUUUCCAGAGAAAAUGGUCUUCUCCCUGGCUCAGCAAGAAGAUGAACUUUAAACACUGAGAAACUGGUCAUCUCCCUGGCUCAACCAGAAGAUGAACUUUAAACACUACUCUCAAUGACUUGAUGUUCCCAUCACUACUCCUGUCAUAAAGGGAGGGGACUCAGAUAUUGAGAAUUUUAUGAUAGUGUGAACUGUCUGGUAUGUCAUUUAAGUAAGCCCGUUGCUGAAAUAUUUUCCAUGUUAUUAGAAAGAGCUGAAGAGAGGGAUUGAGAUGGCUUCUUUAUUUUUUGUCUUUUGGGAAUUAAAGGAACCUGGUUCAACAAGGGCCUACACCUAAGUCUCUUGUUGUACCAGAGUACAAUUUAGGACUGCUCCUGAGGAAGGAAUUAGCUAGAAAUCUAGAGAGUAAGGGUAACAGAUUUACAUAGAAUAACAGCCUCAGUAUUUUUGGUUCCUCUCCAGUAAAGAUCACAAAGAAUAUUGCUAAAUCGCUAAAACACCUUUGCAAUAACGUAAGGGCUUACAACUAUAUACCAAUGUAGCUCAGUUACUAAACUGGAGUAAACUAAUUUCUCUUGUGUAGAAAAAUUGGUUGGCUGUGGUUUUAUAGCAGAUCUGCAAUUAUUAAUAGUUAUGCCAAUAAUCGUUUAACAGUGCAUAUGUUAAUAUAUAUGGAAAGACAAUGUGUAUAGACAGAUGUGUAAAAUUGAAAAAUAAACAUAUAACAAGAGAGAAACAUCUAUCGAACAGACAAUAUACAUACACAUCAAACACAACAGCAGUUUUAGUGACCAUAAUAUUUAUUUCUCAUUUUUACAUUGCUUACUUUAGUGACAACUGAAAAUGACAGUUGGCAAUGCAGCUAACAGUUUCAAUAAAAGUAUAAAACAAAA
Molecule: long non-coding RNA, 1518 nt
Filed under: Homo sapiens (human)
Lineage: Eukaryota; Metazoa; Chordata; Mammalia; Primates; Hominidae
Description: long intergenic non-protein coding RNA 320
Source: RNAcentral